GACGAACGCUGGCGGCGUGCUUAACACAUGCAAGUCGAACGGAAAGGCCCGGCGCUUGUUUGUUUCUCGAUUGCCGAGCGGGGGAGUAACACGUGUGGAACCUGCCCUUGUCUUUGUGGUAUCAUCAGGAAACACGGGCGAUUAUCGGAGAUGAUCUUCUGCUGCACGUGGUGGGUUGGAGAGUGUCGGCGGUGGGGUAUGGACUCGCUGGUUAUCAGCUGGUUUGGGGGGUAGUUGCUUACCAAGGCUGUGACGGGUAGCCGGCCUGAGAGGGUGGCCGGCCUCAUUGGGCCUGCGAUAGGGCGCAGACUCGUAUCGGAGGCAGCAGUGGGGAAUAUUGCACAAUGGGCGGAAGCCUGAUGCAGCAACGCCGCGUGCGGGAUGACGGCCUUCGGGUUGUAAACCGAUUUCGACUGUGACGAAGAGUGCGUGACGGUAAUGGGUCAAGAAGCACCGGCUAACUACGUG
Molecule: ribosomal RNA, 468 nt
Filed under: uncultured bacterium
Lineage: Bacteria
Description: partial 16S ribosomal RNA
Rfam family: Bacterial small subunit ribosomal RNA
Source: RNAcentral